Molecule: ribosomal RNA, 254 nt
Filed under: uncultured bacterium
Lineage: Bacteria
Description: partial 16S ribosomal RNA
Rfam family: Bacterial small subunit ribosomal RNA
Source: RNAcentral
CACGUAGGGGGCAAGCGUUGUCCGGAUUUAUUGGGCGUAAAGAGCUCGUAGGUGGUUCGAUAAGUCGGGUGUGAAACCUCCAGGCUCAACCUGGAGACGCCACCCGAUACUGUCGUGACUAGAGUCCAGUAGGGGAGCGUGGAAUUCCUGGUGUAGCGGUGAAAUGCGCAGAUAUCAGGAGGAACACCGGUGGUGUAGACGGCUUUCUGGACCGUAACUGACGCUGAGACACGAAAGCGUGGGGAGCAAACAGG